Molecule: ribosomal RNA, 488 nt
Filed under: Acinetobacter radioresistens
Lineage: Bacteria; Pseudomonadati; Pseudomonadota; Gammaproteobacteria; Moraxellales; Moraxellaceae
Description: bacterial SSU rRNA
Rfam family: Bacterial small subunit ribosomal RNA
Source: RNAcentral
AAUGCUUAGGAAUCUGCCUAUUAGUGGGGGACAACGUUCCGAAAGGAGCGCUAAUACCGCAUACGUCCUACGGGAGAAAGCAGGGGACCUUUGGGCCUUGCGCUAAUAGAUGAGCCUAAGUCGGAUUAGCUAGUUGGUAGGGUAAAGGCCUACCAAGGCGACGAUCUGUAGCGGGUCUGAGAGGAUGAUCCGCCACACUGGGACUGAGACACGGCCCAGACUCCUACGGGAGGCAGCAGUGGGGAAUAUUGGACAAUGGGGGGAACCCUGAUCCAGCCAUGCCGCGUGUGUGAAGAAGGCCUUUUGGUUGUAAAGCACUUUAAGCGAGGAGGAGGCUACCUAGAUUAAUACUUUAGGAUAGUGGACGUUACUCGCAGAAUAAGCACCGGCUAACUCUGUGCCAGCAGCCGCGGUAAUACAGAGGGUGCGAGCGUUAAUCGGAUUUACUGGGCGUAAAGCGUGCGUAGGCGGCCAAUUAAGUCAAAUGU